GACGAACGCUGGCGGCAUGCCUAACACAUGCAAGUCGGAUGUGCCGCAAGGUGCAUGGCAGACGGGUGAGUAACGCGUGGGGAACCUACCUCUUCGUGGGGAAUAACGAUCCGAAAGGAUUGGUAAUACCGCAUGAGACCGACGGCUGGGAUGCUGUCGGUGAAAGCUGGGGACCGGAAACGGCCUGGCGCGAGGAGAGGGUCCUGCGUCUGAUUAGCUAGUUGGUGGGGUAACGGCCUACCAAGGCAUCGAUCAGUAGCCGGCCUGAGAGGGUGAUCGGCCACACUGGAACUGAGACACGGUCCAGACUCCUACGGGAGGCAGCAGUGGGGAAUUUUGCGCAAUGGACGAAAGUCUGACGCAGCAACGCCGCGUGGGUGAUGAAGGUCUUCGGAUUGUAAAACCCUGUCGUCGGGGACGAAGGUAGGGGGUUAAGUAGCCUUUUGCUUGACGGUACCCGGAGAGGAAGCCCCGGCUAACUCUGUGCCAGCAGCCGCGGUAAU
RNAcentral lists this ribosomal RNA (503 nucleotides) under uncultured bacterium. Its description in RNAcentral is "bacterial SSU rRNA". It matches the Rfam family "Bacterial small subunit ribosomal RNA", at positions 28 to 524 of the family's 1533-position model. The record is from RNAcentral.